UAGGGAAUCUUCCACAAUGGACGCAAGUCUGAUGGAGCAACGCCGCGUGAGUGAAGAAGGCUUUCGGGUCGUAAAACUCUGUUGUUGGAGAAGAAUGGUCGGCAGAGUAACUGUUGUCGGCGUGACGGUAUCCAACCAGAAAGCCACGGCUAACUACGUGCCAGCAGCCGCGGUAAUACGUAGGUGGCAAGCGUUAUCCGGAUUUAUUGGGCGUAAAGCGAGCGCAGGCGGUUUUUAAGUCUGAUGUGAAAGCCCUCGGCUUAACCGAGGAAGUGCAUCGGAAACUGGGAAACUUGAGUGCAGAAGAGGACAGUGGAACUCCAUGUGUAGCGGUGAAAUGCGUAGAUAUAUGGAAGAACACCAGUGGCGAAGGCGGCUGUCUGGUCUGUAACUGACGCUGAGGCUCGAAAGCAUGGGUAGCGAACAGGAUUAGAUACCCUGGUAGUCCAUGCCGUAAACGAUGAAUGCUAGGUGUUGGAGGGUUUCCGCCCUUCAGUGCCGCAGCUAACGCAUUGAGCAUUCCGCCUGGGGAGUACGACCGCAAGGUUGAAAC
This 553-nucleotide ribosomal RNA is filed under the name uncultured bacterium. RNAcentral describes it as "partial 16S ribosomal RNA". It matches the Rfam family "Bacterial small subunit ribosomal RNA", at positions 355 to 900 of the family's 1533-position model. The record is from RNAcentral.